GUCAGUGGGAUUUGCAUAUCCACAUCAUCUCUUAGAAGAUGGCUUGAAAUCAAAGAUAUACUGGAAUGCCACAACAGUGAAAUUAGCAGUCAUAUUCUUCAGUGCUACACAAUGACUGAAAACCGCACCAGAAAUGCUAGUGGUGGCAAAAGGCACUGGAUUUGAUUGACAGCCAUGUUUUUUCCACCGAACAGUUCCCUCUGUAGUUUGAAUUGGUAGAGUAUUCUUCACUCCCUGCCCUGAAGUUCUGUAUAGCGUUGCUGUGUGCUGUGAGAACAGUUGCUGUGUUUCACCCCAG
Molecule: long non-coding RNA, 298 nt
Organism: Chelonia mydas (Green sea turtle)
Lineage: Eukaryota; Metazoa; Chordata; Testudines; Cheloniidae
Exons: 4
Source: RefSeq, a predicted model, not a curated record